RNAcentral lists this ribosomal RNA (433 nucleotides) under uncultured bacterium. RNAcentral's name for it is "partial 16S ribosomal RNA". It matches the Rfam family "Bacterial small subunit ribosomal RNA", at positions 29 to 508 of the family's 1533-position model. The record is from RNAcentral.
ACGAACGCUGGCGGCAUGCCUCACACAUGCAAGUCGAACGAGACCUUCGGGUCUAGUGGCGCACGGGUGCGUAACGCGUGGGAACCUGCCCUUAGGUUCGGAAUAACUCCCCGAAAGGGGUGCUAAUACCGGAUAAUGUCUUCGGACCAAAGAUUUAUCGCCUUUGGAUGGGCCCGCGUUGGAUUAGCUAGUUGGUAGGGUAAAAGCCUACCAAGGCGACGAUCCAUAGCUGGUCUGAGAGGAUGGUCAGCCACACUGGGACUGAGACACGGCUCAGACUCCUACGGGAGGCAGCAGUGGGGAAUAUUGGACAAUGGGCGAAAGCCUGAUCCAGCAAUGCCGCGUGAGUGAUGAAGGCCUUAGGGUUGUAAAGCUCUUUUACCCGGGAUGAUAAUGACAGUACCGGGAGAAUAAGCUCCGGCUAACUCCGUGC